AUGCACAAAGAAAGCCCCCCUCGAUAGUUUUCCGAACGAACAUUCGGGUGGCUAUUGUUGUCAACUUUACGGUCUCAAUUGAUCUCGUCCACUGGCUGUAACUUAUCUUUUUAUAUUAAUGUUGGCGCUAGUAUUAAAGACUUUUCAAUAAUAAACUCUUCAUCUUCUCUUUGAUACCUUUCUUAGACCUAGACUUCAAUCUCUCUAUACUCCUCUUUCAUCUUCUUCCUUCUAUUUAACACCUUCUCAAACCUAGUCUCGAGUCUCUUAGUUCCUCUUCCAUCUUCUUUCCUAUGGUUUCUAUUAGGAUUCUUCCCUUUGCUCAAUAUUCUAGAAAAGACUUUUGUCUAGUUUGGCCAUUGGUGUCAAUCUUAUGGUCCUAAUUAAUCUCUUCCAUUUGCUCUAGAUUGUCUUUUCACAUAAAAGUUGCCGUCCAUAUUAAAGACUUUUUUGACAGCAAACUCUUCAUCUUCUCUUCGAUACCCUUCUUAGACCUAGACUCUGGUCUCUCUAUAUUUCGCCUUCAUCUUUUUCCAGCUCUUCGACACCCUUCUCAAACUAGGUCUUCGAUCUCUCAAUUCCUCUUUUAUCUUCUUCCCUAUGGCGUCUACUA
This 613-nucleotide long non-coding RNA is filed under the name Ananas comosus (pineapple). Its description in RNAcentral is "long non-coding RNA (ACOM_LNC021002)". Lineage: Eukaryota; Viridiplantae; Streptophyta; Magnoliopsida; Poales; Bromeliaceae. The record is from RNAcentral.